AGUGGCGGACGGGUGAGUAUCGCGUAAGAAUCUAACUUCAGGACGGGGACAACAGUUGGAAACGACUGCUAAUACCCGAUGUGCCGCAAGGUGAAACCUAAUUGGCCUGAAGAAGAGCUUGCGUCUGAUUAGCUAGUUGGUGGGGUAAAGGCCUACCAAGGCGACGAUCAGUAGCUGGUCUGAGAGGAUGAGCAGCCACACUGGGACUGAGACACGGCCCAGACUCCUACGGGAGGCAGCAGUGGGGAAUUUUCCGCAAUGGGCGAAAGCCUGACGGAGCAACGCCGCGUGAGGGAGGAAGGUCUUUGGAUUGUAAACCUCUUUUCUCAAGGAAGAAGUUCUGACGGUACUUGAGGAAUCAGCCUCGGCUAACUCCGUGCCAGCAGCCGCGGUAAUACGGGGGAGGCAAGCGUUAUCCGGAAUUAUUGGGCGUAAAGCGUCCGCAGGUGGUCAGCCAAGUCUGCCGUCAAAUCAGGUUGCUUAACGACCUAAAGGCGGUGGAAACUGGCAGACUAGAGAGCAGUAGGGGUAGCAGGAAUUCCCAGUGUAGCGGUGAAAUGCGUAGAGAUUGGGAAGAACAUCGGUGGCGAAAGCGUGCUACUGGGCUGUAUCUGACACUCAGGGACGAAAGCUAGGGGAGCGAAAGGGAUUAGAUACCCCUGUAGUCCUAGCCGUAAACGAUGGAUACUAGGCGUGGCUU
RNAcentral lists this ribosomal RNA (700 nucleotides) under uncultured bacterium. Its description in RNAcentral is "bacterial SSU rRNA". It matches the Rfam family "Bacterial small subunit ribosomal RNA", at positions 94 to 828 of the family's 1533-position model. The record is from RNAcentral.